UAAUCUAGUUUUCUUUCAUUGCUCAGGUUUUUGCAGUUGACUGGAGUCCUGACGGACAGAGAGUGGCCAGUGGUGGAAAAGACAAGUGUUUAAGGAUAUGGAGGAAGUAACCCAGAGAAACCAGCGGCUCCUGGCUCUGCAUGCAACAGCCAAUCAGGCGUCUCAAAGCAUCACCCCACAGCAUGGUGGACAGCAGUGUCGGAGCAUUAAGCCUUAGCCUAUUUGUCCAAUGAAACCGCUUCGACAGCAUCACAAUAGCUGAAAUAUAAUGCUCUCUGAUGUUGUCGGGCCAGAUAGCGGGAAGAUAAAACGCUGCCUUUUUUGCCCCACUCAAAUAAGCAAUUGCCCUGUGGAAGUGCAGGCGAACUGACCCAGUCUAAUCAGUGUAAUCUUUCUCACACACAUUUGUAAUUAACUUAAUCCCUAAUGCUGCGAUACAGGCGGCAUUAACUGGGUCUGUUCCAGUGCCUAGAGAUAACCAGCGUCGUCACAGUGGACCGUACUACGUCAGCAGAUGUUUUCUCAUUUAACAAGCAGUAAAAGGAUUUUUAUGGGA
Sinocyclocheilus anshuiensis is the source of this 556-nucleotide long non-coding RNA. RefSeq lists it as uncharacterized. The record is from RefSeq and is a predicted model, not a curated record. NCBI's taxonomy places the organism in Eukaryota, Metazoa, Chordata, Actinopteri, Cypriniformes, Cyprinidae. The transcript is spliced from 2 exons.